RNAcentral lists this ribosomal RNA (253 nucleotides) under uncultured bacterium. RNAcentral's name for it is "partial 16S ribosomal RNA". It matches the Rfam family "Bacterial small subunit ribosomal RNA", at positions 524 to 776 of the family's 1533-position model. The record is from RNAcentral.
UACAGAGGUGGCAAGCGUUGUUCGGAAUUACUGGGCGUAAAGGGCGAGUAGGUGGCCAUCUAAGUCAGACGUGAAAUCCCUCGGCUUAACCGAGGAACUGCGUCCGAUACUGAAAGGCUUGAAUCCGGGAGAGGGAUGUGGAAUUCCAGGUGUAGCGGUGAAAUGCGUAGAUAUCUGGAGGAACACCGGUGGCGAAGGCGGCAUCCUGGACCGGUAUUGACGCUGAGGUGCGAAAGCGUGGGGAGCAAACAGG